GCCUACGGGGGGCAGCAGUGGGGAAUAUUGGACAAUGGGCGAAAGCCUGAUCCAGCAAUGCCGCGUGAGUGAUGAAGGCCUUAGGGUUGUAAAGCUCUUUUACCCGGGAUGAUAAUGACAGUACCGGGAGAAUAAGCUCCGGCUAACUUCGUGCCAGCAGCCGCGGUAAUACGAGGGGAGCUAGCGUUAUUCGGAAUUACUGGGCGUAAAGCGCACGUAGGCGGCUUUGUAAGUUAGAGGUGAAAGCCCAGAGCUCAACUCUGGAAUUGCCUUUAAGACUGCAUCGCUUGAAUCCAGGAGAGGUGAGUGGAAUUCCGAGUGUAGAGGUGAAAUUCGUAGAUAUUCGGAAGAACACCAGUGGCGAAGGCGGCUCACUGGACUGGUAUUGACGCUGAGGUGCGAAAGCGUGGGGAGCAAACAGGAUUAGAUACCCCUGUAGUUCCC
This 444-nucleotide ribosomal RNA is filed under the name Pseudomonas sp. DCB_Q. RNAcentral describes it as "bacterial SSU rRNA". It matches the Rfam family "Bacterial small subunit ribosomal RNA", at positions 337 to 798 of the family's 1533-position model. Lineage: Bacteria; Pseudomonadati; Pseudomonadota; Gammaproteobacteria; Pseudomonadales; Pseudomonadaceae. The record is from RNAcentral.